RNAcentral lists this long non-coding RNA (251 nucleotides) under Ananas comosus (pineapple). RNAcentral's name for it is "long non-coding RNA (ACOM_LNC044480)". Lineage: Eukaryota; Viridiplantae; Streptophyta; Magnoliopsida; Poales; Bromeliaceae. The record is from RNAcentral.
UAGUGAUCAAAAUAUAUCUCACUACUAGAUAGAAUAGAACCUAUGGGGUCACGCACAUAAGAGGUUGUGAUUGAUCGGAUAGCUAGAUCGCGAUUAUUGAAUCGCUGGAGGCUCUAAUUGUCAAUAUGUUGAUAAUUGGACUAAUUUGUAAUUGUUACAAAAUAGUGGUAUUAAAGUAUAAAUGUUACUAGAGAGGACUUAUUAAUAGUUAGUAAAUUAUAAGAGGACUUAUGUGCAAAUAUUGUAUUAUU